Molecule: unclassified non-coding RNA, 353 nt
Filed under: soil metagenome
Description: partial contains 5.8S ribosomal RNA, internal transcribed spacer 2, and large subunit ribosomal RNA
Rfam family: 5.8S ribosomal RNA (bases 4-121)
Source: RNAcentral
GAUUGAAGAACGUAGCGAAAUGCGAAAAGUAAUGUGAAUUGCAGAAUUCAGUGAAUCAUCGAAUCUUUGAACGCACAUUGCGCCCGCUGGUACUCCGGCGGGCACGCCUGUCCGAGCGUCAUUUCAACCCUCAAGCCCUCCUUCGGGAUGGGCCUGGUGUUGGGGCUCGGCCGCCAUCUCCGGCGGCCGUCCCCUAAAUACAGUGGCGGUCACGUCGCGACUCCUUUGCGUAGUAGAAACACCUCGCUCCGGAUAGCAACGCGGUCCACGCCGUAAAACCACCAAUUUUCAAUGGUUGACCUCGGAUCAGGUGGGAAUACCCGCUGAACUUAAGCAUAUCAAUAAGCGGAGGA